RNAcentral lists this ribosomal RNA (2028 nucleotides) under human gut metagenome. Its description in RNAcentral is "bacterial LSU rRNA". It matches the Rfam family "Bacterial large subunit ribosomal RNA", at positions 492 to 2524 of the family's 2925-position model. The record is from RNAcentral.
GAACCAGUACUGUGAAGGAAAGGCGAAAAGAACCCCGGGAGGGGAGUGAAAUAGAUCCUGAAACCGCAUACAUACAAACAGUAGGAGCCCGCAAGGGUGACUGCGUACCUUUUGCAUAAUGGGUCAGCGACUUACGUUCAAUGGCAAGCUUAACCGAGUAGGGGAGGCGCAGCGAAAGCGAGUCCGAACAGGGCGACAUGAGUCGUUGGGCGUAGACCCGAAACCAGAUGAUCUAUCCAUGGCCAGGCUGAAGGUGUGGUAACACACACUGGAGGGCCGAACCGACUAGUGUUGCAAAAUUAGCGGAUGAGCUGUGGAUAGGGGUGAAAGGCUUAACAAAUCUGGAGAUAGCUGGUUCUCCCCGAAAACUAUUGAGGUAGUGCCUCGUGUAUGGCUCCAGGGGGUAGAGCACUGUUAUGGCUAGGGGGACAUGGCGUCUUACCAAACCAUGGCAAACUCCGAAUACUUGGAAGUAAGAGCACGGGAGACAGAGCACCGGGUGCUAACGUCCGGACUCAAGAGGGAAACAACCCAGACCGCCGUUUAAGGUCCCAAAUAUUGACUAAGUGGAAAACGAAGUGUGAAGGCUAAGACAGUCAGGAAGUUGGCUUAGAAGCAGCCAUCCUUCAAAGAAAGCGUAAUAGCUCACUGAUCGAGUCUUCCUGCGCGGAAGAUGUAACGGGGCUAAGUCAAUAACCGAAGCCGCGGAUUCGCAGCAAUGCGAGUGGUAGGGGAGCGUUCUGUAAGCCUGCGAAGGCGGAUCCGCGAGGACCGCUGGAGGUAUCAGAAGUGCGAAUGCUGACAUGAGUAACGUUAAAGCGGGUGAAAAGCCCGCUCGCCGCAAGCCCAAGGUUUCCUGCUCUACGUUCAUCGGAGCAGGGUGAGUCGGCCCCUAAGGUCAGGCUGAGAAGCGUAGCUGAUGGGAAGCUGGUUAAUAUUCCAGCACCGAUUUCAAGUGCGAAGGGGGGACGGAGUCCUGAAGGUCAUCCGGGUGUUGGAUAUCCCGGUUUACGAGCGUAGGAGGUUGACAGGCAAAUCCGUCAACGGAUCUCCAAGGCGAAGGAUCGAGGUUGAGAGAUCAACUGAAGUGACUGAAUGGGCUUCCAGGAAAAGCCUCUAAGCAUCAGCUUGGAAUUGACCGUACCGCAAACCGACACUGGUGGGCGAGCUGAAUAUGCUCAGGCGCUUGAGAGAACUCAGGAGAAGGAACUCGGCAAAUUGACACCGUAACUUCGGGAUAAGGUGUGCCUUUGUAGCGUGAAGAGAGAAACACUCGGAGCGUGAAGAGGCCUCAGAGAAUCGGUGGCUGCAACUGUUUAUUAAAAACACAGCACUCUGCAAAGACGAAAGUCGACGUAUAGGGUGUGAUGCCUGCCCGGUGCUGGAAGAUUAAUUGAUGGGGUGCAAGCUCCUGAUCGAAGUCCCAGUAAACGGCGGCCGUAACUAUAACGGUCCUAAGGUAGCGAAAUUCCUUGUCGGGUAAGUUCCGACCUGCACGAAUGGCAUAAUGAUGGCCACACUGUCUCCUCCUGAGACUCAGUGAAGUUGAAAUGUUUGUGAUGAUGCAAUCUCCCCGCGGCUAGACGGAAAGACCCCAUGAACCUUUACUGCAGCUUUGCAUUGGACUUUGAACCGAUCUGUGUAGGAUAGGUGGGAGGCAGUGAAGCUAGGACGCCAGUCUUAGCGGAGCCAACCUUGAAAUACCACCCUGAUUUGUUUGAGGUUCUAACCUAGGAGCGUAAUCCGCUUCGGGGACCGUGCAUGGUAGGCAGUUUGACUGGGGCGGUCUCCUCCUAAAGGGUAACGGAGGAGUGCGAAGGUACGCUAGGUACGGUCGGAAAUCGUGCUGAUAGUGCAAUGGCAAAAGCGUGCUUGACUGCGAGACCGACAAGUCGAGCAGAUACGAAAGUAGGUCAUAGUGAUCCGGUGGCUCUGCAUGGAAGGGCCAUCGCUCAACGGAUAAAAGGUACUCUGGGGAUAACAGGCUGAUACCGCCCAAGAGUUCAUAUCGACGGCGGUGUUUGGCAC